AGCUCACCAGUGGAUUUGCUUAAGAAGACCACGUGCUGAGGAGCAUUCAAGCCUUAACUCCAGCAGCACAUUGAGAUGGGAAGGCAUGCAGAGGUGACAGCACGUGACAAUGUGCUUCCACAGAGAUGCAGAUGCUCUGGAGAGGAGAAAUUCCCAGCUGGGGCAGGAAGAUGUGUCUGAGCUUGCCAAGAACCAAGGAGAGAGGCAGAAACAAUGGAGAAAGGAUGGAGCAUCAGCUGAGGAGGCCAAAAUGGUUGUUUAUAAAGCAUGGCUAUUCUUUAAGACAAGGACUUGACUGGAUUCUGGGAACUGAAGUUGUCCCUAACCCCCAACACUUGUUGACCAUCUCCCGCAGCCAGAGGAAACAGCAUCAAGUUUGCAGCCUCUUAUACUGCUCCAGUAAAGAACUAAGCAAUCCUAAAGGGCAACAUCUUCCAAAAGAUUUAGUGCUUGAUUCCAAAUCUCAGUAUUCACACUCCUGCUUCAGCUGCUGCUUAGUCCUGGAAACCUCAGUUUCCAAGUGUAACCCAUCUGCCAGAACUCAACUGGCACCAACAACGGCUGCACUCAAGCUUAACGCUGUGAGCCAGAAAGAAGGAAAAGAUCUAUGA
This 611-nucleotide long non-coding RNA is filed under the name Calidris pygmaea (Spoon-billed sandpiper). Its description in RNAcentral is "lncRNA (ENSCPGG00000014622.1)". Lineage: Eukaryota; Metazoa; Chordata; Aves; Charadriiformes; Scolopacidae. The record is from RNAcentral.